GAUGAAGAACGUAGCGAAAUGCGAUAAGUAAUGUGAAUUGCAGAAUUCAGUAAAUCAUCGAAUCUUUGAACGCACAUUGCGCCCGCCAGUAUUCUGGCGGGCAUGCCUGUUCGAGCGUCAUUUCAACCAUCAAGCCCCCGGCUUGUGUUGGGGACCUGCGGCUGCCGCAGGCCCUGAAAACCAGUGGCGGGCUCGCUAGUCACUCCGAGCGUAGUAAUACAUCUCGCUCAGGGCGUGCUGCGGGUUCCGGCCGUUAAAAAGCCUUAUUUACCCAAGGUUGACCUCGGAUCAGGUAGGAAGACCCGCUGAACUUAAGCAUAUCAAUAAGCGGAGGA
This 335-nucleotide unclassified non-coding RNA is filed under the name soil metagenome. Its description in RNAcentral is "partial contains 5.8S ribosomal RNA, internal transcribed spacer 2, and large subunit ribosomal RNA". The stretch from base 1 to 120 matches the Rfam family "5.8S ribosomal RNA", at positions 35 to 154 of the family's 154-position model. The record is from RNAcentral.